AGCGUAGGUGGCUUUUCAAGUCGGAUGUGAAAUCUCCUGGCUUAACUGGGAGGGGUCAUUCGAUACUGUUGAGCUAGAGGACAGCAAGGGAAGGUGGAAUUCCGGGUGUAGUGGUGAAAUGCGUAGAUAUCCGGAGGAACACCAGUGGCGAAGGCGGCCUUCUGGGCUGUUUCUGACACUGAGGCUCGAAAGUGUGGGGAGCGAACAGGAUUAGAUACCCUGGUAGUCCACACCGUAAACUAUGGACACUAGGUAUAGGGAGUUUCGACCCUCUCUGUGCCGAAGCUAACGCUUUAAGUGUCCCGCCUGGGGACUACGGCCGCAAGGUUAAA
RNAcentral lists this ribosomal RNA (332 nucleotides) under uncultured bacterium. Its description in RNAcentral is "bacterial SSU rRNA". It matches the Rfam family "Bacterial small subunit ribosomal RNA", at positions 568 to 898 of the family's 1533-position model. The record is from RNAcentral.